UAUAAUAUUAUUUUAUAUUUUUCCAUACAGUAAUAUAAGGAUCGAUCGCUUUUCUAAUUUUGUAUUGUUACAUAAAUGUUAUACUAUUUUAUUCUCUGAAUUUGGCUUUAACUCUAGCAGAUAUGUUUUCACCCUCGCGCGUAAAACGUUCUAUUAAAUAAGUUCGUCCGUCUGCAUAUCUGCAUAAUUCAGGUAAAGCACUAGAAAUUGUUGCUAGCCAAUACGGUAAAUUUCGAAGACUUCGAAUAGCUCCAGAUCCAAUACCAAGAGAUAGUAAUGCAACAUAUAACACUGUUAUCGCACCAGUUAAAGGAUUCUCAAGUAUCAUCAAUAAAGCUACGGUUACUUGUUCAGCAGCAAUAUAGUUCGACCAAAGAAUGGCAGAAGUAUGGGCCCAUGCUGAAUGAUCUAAUUCUAGGAUUGGUAUUAGGAUACCAAUUGUAAUUAUGGUAGAGAUAAAACUUAAAGGUAAACUUAAUAAUGUGUAUGCAGUCAAAAACAUGGCUCCACCAUAAAGGCCUUCCCUCUUUUCUUGAUAAUAUCUAGCACGAAAACCUGGAACUAAAUGAGAAACUUACAUAGAAACGAAAAUAUUCUAAACAUAUGUUUAGAUAUUCAUUGUAAAAACAUACAAAGUAACGAUGUUGUUGCUAUUCCAGUUACAUAAAACAGCGUUAAUAUGUUAAAAACCAAGCCUCCUGUUUGUAAAAAUAUUCUAGAUUGCACAGGAGUUGAAUGUGAAUAUAAUAUACUCAUCAGAGCUACACUGAAUGGUAGCAACAAAAAACGUGCAGCAAAGUGUCCUAAACCACAUUUGUUAAAAGAGAAUGUAACUGCCAUACUUCUUCUAAAAAUAUUAUCCAUGAAUUUUUA
RNAcentral lists this long non-coding RNA (873 nucleotides) under Polistes fuscatus (common paper wasp). Its description in RNAcentral is "uncharacterized LOC122517822". Lineage: Eukaryota; Metazoa; Arthropoda; Insecta; Hymenoptera; Vespidae. The record is from RNAcentral.